This is a long non-coding RNA of Manacus vitellinus (golden-collared manakin), 2011 nucleotides long. RefSeq lists it as uncharacterized. The transcript is spliced from 3 exons. Lineage: Eukaryota; Metazoa; Chordata; Aves; Passeriformes; Pipridae. The record is from RefSeq and is a predicted model, not a curated record.
GGUCCAGUGUUGCAGAGUCUAUGCUGGCACCCAGAUAGGGAGUGGAUGAGCCUCCGUGUUAAAGAUGUAUUUGUCAAGGUUGAUUAAGUCUAUGUCAUCUGAAAACAGCAGAAACAUGUAUUUGAGUGUUUCUCCAAGGAAGAAGCUCUCCAUCUUAUCCCGUGGCUCUGGAUUACUGGGAUUCUGGACAUUGUUAAUGGAAGUAUAACCACCUGUAGGAACCUGUGCCAAAAAAACAAAACAAAACAAAACAAAACAGAAAUUUGUAUCUUUACAUAAUCUAAAAUAAAUUAUUUUUUACUUCCUAACAUCCAGAUGCACUUGGAGAAGAUAAGUGCUAGGAAACAGAUCAACAUGUUUUUAAUUUUGUACUUGGUUUUCCUUUACUUACAAAGCUUCAGUUAUGAAAAACACCAACUCAUUGCAUUUUAAAAGAAACCACAAAGAUAAAAUGAAGCAUCUAUACUUAAGUUAAAGAGGUAUCACAAGGAACAUCCCCUUCAAGUUUCUGGACAAACAUACAGAAAGGAACUAGCGAUUUCUAGGUUAAAGCUGGCCCAAGCCCCAUACCCAUUUCUUCUAAGAACAGACCAUGGACAUUUGAUGACCACUGGCAUCUAGGCCACACUUUCACAGCAUAUCAGUGAUAUCUCAACCAGCACUGUAGUCAGAAUGAAUACAAAACCCCUCUACCAAACCAUUAGUGCCAUUUUGUGCCCAUUUUUUUCUUUGGCAACUUUAAUCAGAGCAUUCAUUCAAUCCAGCCAGGUCCUUCUCAACUUCUGAAUUCUAAAAGCAACCACAGCAGAGAUUCAAACAGCUUCCAAGAUGUAGAGACACUCUGGCAGUCUUGCCUACAGCUUCUACAUUCCACUUUUUAAUCAAUGCAAUGCAAGUUCUUUCCCUAUAUGGACUAAGUAGUGUAUCUCAAACUGUAAGAAACCAAAUUUUUCUGUAUAUUCUUACAAAUUUCCCCAAAUGUCUCUGAUGAAUCUUGAAACACAGUAAGAUUCCAAAGUUGGUGUUAGAAAGCAAGUGAGCAGAUAAAGUCCUGACAGAACAAGGUCACUUGGCCUUACCCGUGUGUAUUUAUUGAAGUUCUGCAAGAUUUCCCAGCCCCAGUCUUGAUAUUUCUUAUCACCAGUGAAUCUGUACAUAUAAAAAAGGCUUUCCACAGUUUCUGGUCGCAGUAAGUUGUGCCUGUCUGCGGGCUGCAAGAGAAAAAAAAGGCAAGAGUACUUCAGACAGGGAAUUUCCUCAAGGACACAUGCAGGGAGAAACAUAAUGAUUCCCAUCUCCAUCUACUUCUAAGAGUUUGCUAUGCAUAACUCAGCUUCUAAAUACACUAUCAGGGUAAUUAAAACCAAAGCCUAGGGUACAGCUAGAAGGCAAGGCAGCAAAGGAACUAACUGCUCCACAACAGACCCCAUCACCAAUAUCUGACCAGGAGUUCAACAGCAGAAUAGAGCUACAGAGGAAUCAUGGAAUUGGAGUUCAGGCCAGCUAUCUGCUCACCUUGAUUUCCACAUCUUUGUGGCCCUUCUGCGCAUGGAGGUUGAAAUGUACGAUCUCCGGGCUCAGGCCUGUCUCUACUUGAGCGUACAUCUGGUAGCAGGUUUCUAUAAGGGCUUCAGCCAACUUCAUAUGAUCAGCAUCCAGUCCAUUGUGGGCUCCUAGUGCCAAAGUACCCGGCAAGAAGCAAACCAAGUGAUCCUGCACGACAAGACAACUCUUACUGCGGAGAAGUUAUGCAUCAAACAGAUUAUCCUAUCCUGAAAUAUGUGCCUCGUCCCAGAGACUAUAAUUCAAAGACUUUCAGAUUCUGAAGGCUAAUGAGCAUGAAGACUGCCAUGGUGGAAUAAGGACACUGAAAGGCUUGCAUGUUCUAGUCUGGACUGGCCCUUCUACAGCCCUGAUGGUACUGUGUCGGGUCUUCAGCCUUGUGUCCCUCUGUGGUGCCUUGAUCUGAAGAUUGGAAGGACCACGACGAACAUGAGGUGGGUUUGGCUGC